GAGGGUAUAGCUCAGUGGUAGAGCACAUGCUUAGCAUGCACGAGGUCCUGGGUUCAAUCCCCAGUACCUCUA
RNAcentral lists this transfer RNA (72 nucleotides) under Camelus bactrianus (Bactrian camel). It matches the Rfam family "tRNA". Rfam says of the family: Transfer RNA (tRNA) molecules are approximately 80 nucleotides in length. Their secondary structure includes four short double-helical elements and three loops (D, anti-codon, and T loops). Further hydrogen bonds mediate the characteristic L-shaped molecular structure. tRNAs have two regions of fundamental functional importance: the anti-codon, which is responsible for specific mRNA codon recognition, and the 3' end, to which the tRNAs corresponding amino acid is attached (by aminoacyl-tRNA synthetases). tRNAs cope with the degeneracy of the genetic code in two manners: having more than one tRNA (with a specific anti-codon) for a particular amino acid; and 'wobble' base-pairing, i.e. permitting non-standard base-pairing at the 3rd anti-codon position. Lineage: Eukaryota; Metazoa; Chordata; Mammalia; Artiodactyla; Camelidae. RNAcentral also lists the same sequence under 3 other names. The record is from Rfam by way of RNAcentral.